Molecule: ribosomal RNA, 504 nt
Filed under: uncultured Sphingomonas sp.
Lineage: Bacteria; Pseudomonadati; Pseudomonadota; Alphaproteobacteria; Sphingomonadales; Sphingomonadaceae
Description: bacterial SSU rRNA
Rfam family: Bacterial small subunit ribosomal RNA
Source: RNAcentral
UAAAGCUCUUUUACCCGGGAAGAUAAUGACUGUACCGGGAGAAUAAGCCCCGGCUAACUCCGUGCCAGCAGCCGCGGUAAUACGGAGGGGGCUAGCGUUGUUCGGAAUCACUGGGCGUAAAGCGCUCGUAGGCGGAUCUUUAAGUCAGGGGUGAAAUCCCGAGGCUCAACCUCGGAACUGCCUUUGAUACUGGGGAUCUCGAGUCCGGGAGAGGUGAGUGGAAUUGCGAGUGUAGAGGUGAAAUUCGUAGAUAUUCGCAAGAACACCGGUGGCGAAGGCGGCUCACUGGCCCGGAACUGACGCUGAGGAGCGAAAGCGUGGGGAGCAAACAGGAUUAGAUACCCUGGUAGUCCACGCCGUAAACGAUGAUGACUAGCUGUCGGGGCUCAUGGAGUUUCGGUGGCGCAGCUAACGCGUUAAGUCAUCCGCCUGGGGAGUACGGCCGCAAGGUUAAAACUCAAAGAAAUUGACGGGGGCCUGCACAAGCGGUGGAGCAUGUGGUUU